CCUACGGGGGGCAGCAGUGAGGAAUAUUGGUCAAUGGGCGGGAGCCUGAACCAGCCAAGUAGCGUGCAGGAUGACGGCCCUAUGGGUUGUAAACUGCUUUUGUAUGGGGAUAAAGUCAAUCACGUGUGAUUGUUUGCAGGUACCAUACGAAUAAGGACCGGCUAAUUCCGUGCCAGCAGCCGCGGUAAUACGGAAGGUCCGGGCGUUAUCCGGAUUUAUUGGGUUUAAAGGGAGCGUAGGCCGGAGAUUAAGUGUGUUGUGAAAUGUAGACGCUCAACGUCUGACUUGCAGCGCAUACUGGUUUCCUUGAGUACGCACAACGUUGGCGGAAUUCGUCGUGUAGCGGUGAAAUGCUUAGAUAUGACGAAGAACUCCGAUUGCGAAGGCAGCUGACGGGAGCGCAACUGACGCUUAAGCUCGAAGGUGCGGGUAUCGAACAGGAUUAGAUACCCGAGUAGUC
This 460-nucleotide ribosomal RNA is filed under the name uncultured Prevotella sp. RNAcentral describes it as "bacterial SSU rRNA". It matches the Rfam family "Bacterial small subunit ribosomal RNA", at positions 338 to 795 of the family's 1533-position model. The record is from RNAcentral. Lineage: Bacteria; Pseudomonadati; Bacteroidota; Bacteroidia; Bacteroidales; Prevotellaceae.